CUCUUCCUCAGAAUCAAGUGACAGUGAGUGUGAGGUGGUCACCAUGAAUCGCUUAAGAAACUCUCUUCUCACGAAACCCAGCCCAGAUCCCCAAGCCCCUGUUGAAGAAGCAACACUUUCUCUAACUGAAUCUGAACCUGUUGAAGAAACAACACUUUCUCUAACUGAAUCUGAACCAAUUCUCCUCUACCCAGUUCAAGAACUAUCAAUUCCAGCCCAACUUGAAAAAUCAGCAGUCUCUUCUGCGAUGAACCAAAUCCGAAAUAAACCUGCAG
Molecule: long non-coding RNA, 275 nt
Filed under: Amborella trichopoda
Lineage: Eukaryota; Viridiplantae; Streptophyta; Magnoliopsida; Amborellales; Amborellaceae
Description: long non-coding RNA (ATRI_LNC002011)
Source: RNAcentral